UCGGGAAUUUUGGGCAAUGGGCGAAAGCCUGACCCAGCAACGCCGCGUGAAGGAUGAAGUAUUUCGGUAUGUAAACUUCGAAAGAAUAGGAAGAAUAAAUGACGGUACUAUUUAUAAGGUCCGGCUAACUACGUGCCAGCAGCCGCGGUAAUACGUAGGGACCAAGCGUUGUUCGGAUUUACUGGGCGUAAAGGGCGCGUAGGCGGCAAUUCAAGUCAUCUGUGAAAUCUCCGGGCUUAACUCGGAACGGUCAGAUGAUACUGCUUUGCUAGAGUGCAGAAGGGGCAAUCGGAAUUCUUGGUGUAGCGGUGAAAUGCGUAGAUAUCAAGAGGAACACCUGAGGUGAAGACGGGUUGCUGGGCUGACACUGACGCUGAGAGGCUAAAGCGUGGGAAUCGAACGGGAUUAGAUACCCCCGUAGUCCCUGAGCGGGCUGGCAAGGCGCAU
RNAcentral lists this ribosomal RNA (447 nucleotides) under uncultured bacterium. RNAcentral describes it as "bacterial SSU rRNA". It matches the Rfam family "Bacterial small subunit ribosomal RNA", at positions 355 to 825 of the family's 1533-position model. The record is from RNAcentral.